This 982-nucleotide long non-coding RNA is filed under the name Pandoravirus dulcis. Its description in RNAcentral is "putative ncRNA". The record is from RNAcentral.
CGCGCCGAUAAAAGGCGGCGGCGCCGACGCCGGUGCUGCCACGGCGGCCGUCAGGACGACGACCGAUCCGGGGUGGGCGCACAUGCCGUGCACCGCGAGGGCGCUGUCUUGGAGCGACCACGACUGGGCCAGCAGGGUGUCGCACGAUCCGGGCUUGGCCUGGGCGGCCUGGAUGACGAGGGCGAUCGCCACGUCGACGACGGCCAACUGGCGGCCGCCGACGCACACGUAUUGCGUCGUGCGCUGGAUGAUGCGCGCCAUCGGGUGGAGCCGGCGCGGUGCACGGUGCCGCACGUGCAACGGAGACGUGGCCGCUAGGCCGCGAUCGGCGCAUACCAUCGGUGUCGUCGCGGCGUCGGCGGAUACGGUUCGAUCCUCAAGUGCCGGCACGUUGUCGGUGUGCCGGCGAGCGCGCUGAUGUGCGGGUUCGCUAUGGGCGAGUGCGCGGCGCUUGCGCGAUGCGCGCGAGCCGACCGAACCCGAGCACGCGCCCGUUGGAGCGGCUCGGACGUCCCGCUCGUCGACGCGACGGGACAAUGCGAGUUGCUCCAUGAAUCGAAAGAAAAAGAGACAGGGAAAAGAGAGAGGAAGAAAAAAGGCGAGGGGUGGAGGGUCAAUGGGGCCAGCGGCGUCGGUUCGAGUGGGAUAAAGGACAGAGAAGAAGAGGGGCAGGCGAAAAGGAAGAGUCGGUUCAAACAACAGCAACCGCCAACGGCAAUGGGAGGCGACGAUACGAGUCGGUUCACGGUGACGGCGACGAUGACGACAAGGAUAAAAAAUCGAUGAGAGAAAGAGAGGACGUCGAUGCACAAGAUGUUGGGAUGGACGCGAGACAGCGGCAACAAGCGGUCUUGGCUCUGCCCACAAUGGAAAAAACUUGUGGUGGCGGCGGUGGCGUGACCUCGCCCGACCAAUCGCAAAGAAACCCUCCCAUUUGCCCGUGUUUUGGUGCGCCGGCUCCUUUGUUUGGACCCCUUUUUCC